Molecule: long non-coding RNA, 955 nt
Organism: Felis catus (domestic cat)
Lineage: Eukaryota; Metazoa; Chordata; Mammalia; Carnivora; Felidae
Exons: 4
Source: RefSeq, a predicted model, not a curated record
CUUUCCUGCCAAGGUCCAACUCAGGAAGCUUUGGAAAUAAGUCGGAUGCUGAAGGGGCUCCCAAACCCCACCCCUCCCGCUGGCUUCAGAUGUCACGUGCAUCAACAUCGCUCCAUUCUGACUUGAUGAGAAGUAAACGUUGUGAAUCUCAGCUACUAAGACAAAUUGAUGCCAACAAAAUACGAAUUUAAUCUCUUAUUUGCUUUUUAUUUUUAUUAUGGAAACUUUCCAACCUCCAGCAAAAUGCAGAUCGCAGCCUAACGAGCACCCACACACCCACACACCUGGAUUUCAGCCCCCAAGGGUGUGAUCCUCAGGAGAGCAGGAACUGUGUGUGCUGUGCUCACAGGUAGUAGAACCCCAUCAGGACCUGUUGAACCAAAGGUGUCUCUGCUCCCUACUUUGCCUCGGGAACCCCUGGGGCAUGCAUCCGUCCAGGAAUCGUUGGACAGGAUCCCCCCAAACCCCCCGCCUGGGGCAGUGCUGGGGCUUUGGUCCGGAUGACACGUGGCUCAGAGAAACAAUUGAACCAGGGAGAGAAGGACUCCGUCCAGUCCAAAUACACUUUUUUUGCAAAGCCAAAGCAGCGACGCCCUUCAAGAUGCUGUUCCCUUUAAGAUCUCACAAACGGAGUCUGCAAAUAUCUUCUCCACCGUUGUGCGUGAAGACCGUUUCACGAACCAACGAAUGUGCUGAUUCCAGAGCCUGAGGUACAAAUGGCGCCUGGUUUUCCCAUCGUUAUCCUUUCUGCUAUGAGCAGUUUGAACCUCUCCAGAGUGAUCCGUCCAUCACAUAACAGCUCAGAUCAGGUUGGCUUUCUGAAUGCAAAACCCACAGCUACAACAGGAAGUGGCAUCGUUCACGGGACACGACAGGGUUCCCUUCUCUCCCCCCCACCCUCUCUCUCUCUCAAUCUCUCUCUCCCUGCCCUCCUGGUGGAGAGUGGUACUUACAU